This 992-nucleotide long non-coding RNA is filed under the name Androctonus crassicauda. Lineage: Eukaryota; Metazoa; Arthropoda; Arachnida; Scorpiones; Buthidae. The record is from RNAcentral.
UCAUAUCUUCAGUGAUUAUAUAUAUAUAUUUUCAUAUAUAUUAUAUAUACAUAUUUUAUAUAUAUACUAUAUAUUUUCAUAUCCUCAGUGAUUUGUUUAACCAGUGAGGAUUUAAGGAUAUGAUUAAGUUGUUACGAUGAGAUAGGGUACGAGGAAAAAUUUCUGUCACUCGUAAAAGUCCAAACUGACCAGCAAGUUUUCAAAAUGCCAUCUUCAAUAUAUCCUGAUUUCUACUUAAUAUUGUCCUUAUUAAUUGACGUAAUGCCAGAUUGUUCAAAUCAGUCCCAUUUCUGCCUACUUGAAAAUUCAUUACAAGACCAAAUUUUGGAGAUGAAAGAAGAUUUUCUUUUUUCAUUGCAUUCAGGACACCGAAUAAUUACUAGAAAUGUAUCCGUCGGAAAACGAAGGAAUUUUUAAUGAAUACUUCUACAGUAUGAGUCAUAAAUUGGCACUUUCCUCUUACAAAGCUAAGCUUGCAUUCUAAUAUAUAACACAUUAUUGAUUGUAUUGUAUGCAUAGUAAAUUAGAGAAGUUCCCAUUAUAUUUCAACAAUCCUGACACGUAUUAUCCCAUCUUCAGCAGCUCUAAACAGUCUUUUUGUCCUGUUCCAACUUUUAUAUCCACUGAUCCUGUUUUCGAUAAUUUGAACAGCAAACGGGACAUUGUUGAUUGAUUACAAUAAAGCUUACUAGCUACAGCACGACUGGAUAGCCUUCCUUACUGAAGGCAACACCUACACUUUUUUCCGAGGGUCAAUUGAACAGUCUUCCUCAUGUCAUCUUAACAGUUCUAAAUAGCAAAUUAAGCAAAUGGGCAUGUGGGCUGGCUUAUACGUUUUAAGGAGGAUGACGCAAUAACUGAUGCUUGUUAACUAUGAACCAAUAGAAUCUCAGGAUGACCAAUGCCACUAGAUUGUUUCAUCUUUUUACUAAGAUUGACAAAACUAAAACUUUCCACGUUUUGUAAGGUGAUGCAAUUUCCAUGAACGCAAC